RNAcentral lists this ribosomal RNA (253 nucleotides) under uncultured bacterium. RNAcentral describes it as "partial 16S ribosomal RNA". It matches the Rfam family "Bacterial small subunit ribosomal RNA", at positions 524 to 776 of the family's 1533-position model. The record is from RNAcentral.
UACAGCGGGGGCAAGCGUUAUUCGGAAUUAUUGGGCGUAAAGGGCGCGUAGGCGGCCUGGCAAGUGGAUGGUGAAAUCCCUCGGCUUAACCGAGGAACUGCCGUCCAAACUGCUUCGCUUGAGACCGGGAGAGGUGAGUGGAAUUCCCAGUGUAGCGGUGAAAUGCGCAGAUAUCAGGAAGAACACCCGUGGCGAAGGCGGCUCUCUGGGACGGUACUGACGCUGAGACGCGAAAGCGUGGGGAGCGAACAGG